UAGGACCUUGGUUAGGCGAAGACGAGUUUCGCCCUACAAGAUUUUUCAAGGAAGCGGUCCCUGAUCACGGUGAGCAAGCUCACAUCACCAAAAGUGAUAAGUGAGAAGCCUGAAGUGGUUACUAACUGCAUCCACCUAGCAAAUGCUGGGCGGAACCUAAAGCCGGCCAAGGUCCUUU
Molecule: non-coding RNA, 178 nt
Filed under: Deltaproteobacteria bacterium
Lineage: Bacteria; Pseudomonadati; Myxococcota; Myxococcia
Description: 6S RNA
Rfam family: 6S / SsrS RNA
About the family: E. coli 6S RNA was the first non coding RNA to be sequenced, but its function was unknown until recently. It consists of 184 nucleotides that fold into an extended hairpin structure with a large single-stranded internal bulge. The 6S RNA specifically associates with RNA polymerase holoenzyme containing the sigma70 specificity factor.
Source: RNAcentral